CAGUAGCCGCGGGAAUACGAAGGGGGCUAGCGUUGUUCGGAUUACUGGGCGUAAAGCGCACGUAGGCGGAUCGAUCAGUCAGGGGUGAAAUCCUGGAGCUCAACUCCAGAACUGCCUUUGAUACUGUCGAUCUCGAGUCCGGAGGAGGUGAGUGGAACUCCUAGUGUAGAGGUGGAAUUCGUAGAUAUUAGGAAGAACACCAGUGGCGAAGGCGGCUCACUGGUCCGGUACUGACGCUGAGGUGCGAAAGCGUGGGGAGCAAACAGGAUUAGAUACCCCUGUAGUCCCUGUCUCUUAUACA
RNAcentral lists this ribosomal RNA (301 nucleotides) under uncultured bacterium. RNAcentral describes it as "partial 16S ribosomal RNA". It matches the Rfam family "Bacterial small subunit ribosomal RNA", at positions 509 to 808 of the family's 1533-position model. The record is from RNAcentral.